AAAGAGGAACAACUCUUUCUUGGUUAAGGAGUUCGGUAACAACACUCAGAGUGUUCAGUUUAGCAGAGAGCCAAACAAUCUCUACAACCUCAACUCCUACAAGUACCCUGGUUUGGCCAACAAGAAAACUGUUACUAUUCAGCCAGCUGGCAAAGAUCAGUCUAUGUUGUUGGCGACCACCAAGCCAAGGAAGCAGAACAAACCUUCCGCUUUGCUUCACAAAUCUGUGAUGAAGAAGGAAUUCAGGAGGAUGUCAAAGGCUGUCCAAAAUCAGAUAUUUCUACCAAUGCAUUCAAGAUGUAUAUAAAAGUUCUCCGAAACAUACGUCACCUCCUGUUUCUCUUCUAGGACAGUUGUUGUGGCGAGAGUUCUUUUACACAACAGCUUUUGGGACUCCAAAUUUCGAUAGGAUGAAAGGUAAUAGGAUAUGCAAGCAGUGAUUUGGUUGUUGCAUGGAUUACUUUUUAUACAUUGAUGAAAUGACAAACCCCGAUAAGGUUAGAAUUUGGUUCACCUUGCUUUAACAUUUUAUAACAAAUGCAUAAGUUUUUAAGCUUUUUUCUUUUAUUACUUAUGGCAGGAAGAAGCUGAAAAAAUUACACAACCAAUUCUAGAUGCUCUAGGUGAAGACUAUUCUACUUGUUGCGAAGGUACCGAUUUCACUAUUGUUUGUCGGUCAACAAUCACUGCUAUAUUUCAGCUUAACAGGGCCAAGAGAUUACUGGUGGUUUUCACAGAAUGAAGUCAUUGAUUAAUUAGUUUAUGAUUUGGUAUUUUAACCAUGUAGUAUGUAAAGUAACAUAUGUUGAAUUCUUUUUUCAAAAAGAUAUAUUUAAAUUAGUUUAGAUAUUGUGCAACUAUUCAGUUCAUUAAGU
Molecule: long non-coding RNA, 875 nt
Organism: Vicia villosa (hairy vetch)
Lineage: Eukaryota; Viridiplantae; Streptophyta; Magnoliopsida; Fabales; Fabaceae
Exons: 5
Source: RefSeq, a predicted model, not a curated record